AUUGAACGCUGGCGGCAGGCUUAACACAUGCAAGUCGAGCGGGGGAAGGUAGCUUGCUACCGGACCUAGCGGCGGAUGGGUGAGUAAUGCUUAGGAAUCUGCCUAUUAGUGGGGGACAACAUUCCGAAAGGAAUGCUAAUACCGCAUACGUCCUACGGGAGAAAGCAGGGGAUCUUCGGACCUUGCGCUAAUAGAUGAGCCUAAGUCGGAUUAGCUAGUUGGUGGGGUAAAGGCCUACCAAGGCGACGAUCUGUAGCGGGUCUGAGAGGAUGAUCCGCCACACUGGGACUGAGACACGGCCCAGACUCCUACGGGAGGCAGCAGUGGGGAAUAUUGGACAAUGGGGGAAACCCUGAUCCAGCCAUGCCGCGUGUGUGAUGAAGGCCUUAUGGUUGUAAAGCACUUUAAGCGAGGAGGAGGCUACUGAGACUAAUACUCUUGGAUAGUGGACGUUACUCGCAGAAUAAGCACCGGCUAACUCUGUGCCAGCCGCCGCGGUAA
This 501-nucleotide ribosomal RNA is filed under the name uncultured bacterium. Its description in RNAcentral is "partial 16S ribosomal RNA". It matches the Rfam family "Bacterial small subunit ribosomal RNA", at positions 30 to 523 of the family's 1533-position model. The record is from RNAcentral.